Molecule: ribosomal RNA, 1369 nt
Filed under: Spinitermes trispinosus
Lineage: Eukaryota; Metazoa; Arthropoda; Insecta; Blattodea; Termitidae
Description: 16S ribosomal RNA
Rfam family: Bacterial large subunit ribosomal RNA (bases 880-1251)
Source: RNAcentral
GUCUGAUUUGUAGACUAUCUUGUGGUUGUUGUUUGAUUUUGUUUAUUGGUUUAUUGAAAUAUCAUUCCGGUUGUUGUAUUUUUUUGAUUUAAUUUUUUGUACGAUAGGUUACUUGUACUGUAAGGGGUUGUUUUAAGUGUUUUUAUGGAAGUUGAUUUUAUUUGUUGUACCUUGUGUAUCAGGGUUCAUUGAAUUUUAUUAUUUAUUUUUAUUUCCCGAUUUUAAUGGAGUUAAUGAUUUAUGUUAGUUAUUGUUUCAGUAAUAUUAAUAAUAGGUUGUUGGUAAUGAAAUGUUAUUCGUCUUUAGUGGUCUCUGGUUUUUCAAGAAAUGAAUUUAAUUCAUACAUCUUAUUUAAUUUCUGUUGUUGUUAUUAUUUAUUUUUAUUUGAUGUUAAGAUUAAGGGGGAUUAGCUCCUUAUUUUAUUUUUAUAAUUAUUAUGUUUUUAAUGGUUUAGUUUUGUGGAUUUUAUGGUGAUUUUCAAUUUGAUUAUGUUAAAAUUUUAUUUUUGCUUUUGUUUCUUUUUUGUUUAUUUAAGUUUUUAUUGGAAUGUUUUCUUUAUUUUGGUUUGUAAAGUAAUUAUUGUGUAAUUAGUAAAUUUUAUGUUAUUGUAUUGUUUUUAGGUUGAUGUUAAUUUCUUUUUAGGAAUUAGGCAAAUUUUGUGUCCGCCUGUUUAACAAAAACAUCUUUUCUCGUUAGUUUUUGAAGUAUAGCCUGCCCACUGACAUGAGGUUGAAGGGCCGCGGUAUUUUGACCGUGCAAAGGUAGCGUAAUCAUUAGUUCUUUAAUUGUGAUCUGGUAUGAAUGGCUUGACGAGAUACGAGCUGUCUUGGUGGAAUUAUUUGUUGAAUUUGGGGUUUGAGUUAAAAUACUUAGAUGUUUUUAUGGGACGAGAAGACCCUAUAGAGUUUGACAAUUUAUUUAUUAGUGUAGUGUUGUUUGUUUUGUUUAUUUAGUGAGUGGAAUUGUUUUGUUGGGGUGAUGGGAGGAAUUUUUUUUAACUCCUCUUUGUUUAAGUAUAUUUGUGUAUAAUAUUAUUGAUCCAUUUAUUUUGAUUAUAAGAUUAAAUUACCUUAGGGAUAACAGCGUUAUCUUCCUUGAGAGUUCUUAUUGGCGGGAAGGUUUGCGACCUCGAUGUUGGAUUAAGAUGAAUUUUCGGUGCAGGAGCUGAAGUUGAUUAGGUCUGUUCGACCUUUAAAAUCUUACAUGAUCUGAGUUCAGACCGGCGUGAGCCAGGUUGGUUUCUAUCUAUAAUGUUUUGUUAUGCCUUAGUACGAGAGGACCGGGUAUUAGAAAUAAUUUUAUUUAUUAUUGAUUUUUAUUAAUGUGGUUGCUAUUUUGGCAGAUAAGUGCGUUGGAUUUAGAAUCUAUU